GCCCCAGUAGCUUAGUAGGUUUUUUCUUAUGACAGCAUAAGAAAACUAUAGAGAGCGCAUGACUGUUAAUCAUGAGGUCAUCAGUUCGAGUCUGAUCUGGGGCG
Molecule: transfer RNA, 104 nt
Filed under: Candidatus Woesearchaeota archaeon
Lineage: Archaea; Nanobdellati; Candidatus Woesearchaeota
Also listed under: 1 other name
Description: tRNA-Asn
Rfam family: tRNA
About the family: Transfer RNA (tRNA) molecules are approximately 80 nucleotides in length. Their secondary structure includes four short double-helical elements and three loops (D, anti-codon, and T loops).
Source: RNAcentral